AUCCAACAGACGAGUCCCUAGUAGGACGAAACGCUCGUCCUGGAU
RNAcentral lists this non-coding RNA (45 nucleotides) under Schistosoma mattheei. The record is from RNAcentral. Lineage: Eukaryota; Metazoa; Platyhelminthes; Trematoda; Strigeidida; Schistosomatidae.